UGUAGCAAUACAGGUGGCGCACGGCGCACGGGUGCGUAACACGUGGGUAACCUGCCCUUUAGUGGGGAAUAACCUCGCGAAAGCGAGGCUAAUUCCGCAUAAGAUCCGCAAGGAUGAAAGCCGAAAGGCGCUGAUGGAGGGGCCCGCGCACGAUUAGCUAGUUGGUGAGGUAAUGGCUCACCAAGGCUAUGAUCGUUAGCUGGUCUGAGAGGAUGGCCAGCCACACUGGAACUGAGACACGGUCCAGACUCCUACGGGAGGCAGCAGUGGGGAAUCUUGCACAAUGGGCGAAAGCCUGAUGCAGCGACGCCGCGUGGGGGAUGAAGCUUCUCGGAGUGUAAACCCCUUUCGACCCGGACGAAUACCUCGCAAGAGGGGUGACGGUACGGGUAUAAGAAGCCCCGGCUAACUACGUGCCAGCAGCCGCGGUAAGACGUAGGGGGCCAGCGUUGUUCGGAAUUACUGGGUGUAAAGGGUUCGUAGGCGGUGUGGCAAGUCGGGAGUGAAAUUUCUGGGCUCAACUCAGAGACUGCUUCCGAAACUGCUGUGCUGGAGUGUGGGAGAGGCGCGUGGAAUUGCAGGUGUAGCGGUGAAAUGCGUAGAUAUCUGCAGGAACACCCGUGGCGAAAGCGGCGCGCUGGACCACUACUGACGCUGAGGAACGAAAGCUAGGGGAGCAAACAGGAUUAGAUACCCUGGUAGUCCUAGCCCUAAACGAUCAGGACUUGGGGUGCCACCCGUUCGGGUGUCGUCCCGGAGCUAACGCGUUAAGUCCUGCACCUGGGGAGUACGGUCGCAAGACUGAAACUC
RNAcentral lists this ribosomal RNA (810 nucleotides) under uncultured Bacillota bacterium. Its description in RNAcentral is "bacterial SSU rRNA". It matches the Rfam family "Bacterial small subunit ribosomal RNA", at positions 75 to 902 of the family's 1533-position model. Lineage: Bacteria; Bacillati; Bacillota. The record is from RNAcentral.